GCAUCCUUGAAGACAAGAGCUUCUGAAAGGUCUGGAUUUCCAUGCCAGCGAAGACACCUCUAUCAGCGUGUUGCAGACACAGCUCAAACUCAGUGGGCCCCACGACUGCAAUCGUGUUCCCUGGAAAACCGCUUCUCUGCUUGUGUCCCUUUCUUGCCACCGUGUCGUCCAAGCUACAAACGUGGGCGUGAGCCUUACUGUGGCUCUCUCCUGCCUGCGCAAGUCUACCUCCGGGGUAUUUGUGAUCCUUCCUCCUGUUCUUGCCAUGGAGACGCCUCACCAGCACACACCUUGGACCCCAGAUCCCAGUUGCUCUCUGACCUCCUACCUUUACCCUUUACGCCCAACAUUCCUGCCAGAGAGGUCUUCUGGGUGCACAUGUUGAGUCUGUCACUCCUCAGUUUAACAUCCUCCGGGGACCCCAAAUCCCAUUCAAAGAGAAGUCCAGCUCCUUGGCAAGGCUUACCAGAGUCUGAAUCGGGAGACUCUUUCCUUCAUUCUCAUCUCUCGCCAUAACAAAAUACUCUGGUGAAGGGCUCUUGGGUGCUUCUGAGCCAGACUCUCGCGCCCCAGUCCCCGUAGACUUGCUGAGCGCCACAUCCUUCUGACGGCUGGCUUUCUUCCAUUUCUGCCUCAAGGACAUGGAGUGGGGGACAAGGGUAGUGCCUUGUUCACAGCGCAAUCCCUUGCCCUGUGCUUUGCACACAGUGGGCAUCAAACAUCCCUUGAGUGAAUGAAUGAUGGGCAACACUGCACCAGGGGCUAUGAUACAAGGAUAUCAGCGGCACAGACUUGUCUUGGAAAAGUCCCUCAGCUCCCUUAGAGCUCCAUGGUCAUAAACUAAUAGUUUUAGAACUACUCCUGUUAGACAUGGGUAUAUACUGGGUUUGUUAAAUUGAUAGCAUGUUUAUUUUUAAAAAUGAAACGUUGGGGCGCCUGGAUGGCUCAGUUGGUUAAGCGCCUGACUUGGGCUCAGGUCAUGAACUCACUGUUUGUGGGUUCCAGCCCCACGUCCGGCCCUGUGCUGACAGCUUAGAGCCUGGAGCCUGCUGCGGAUUCUGUGUCUCCCUCUCUCUCUGCCCUUCCCCCGCUCAUGCUCCGUCUCUUUCAAAAAUAAAAUAAACAUAAAAUUUUUUUUAAUGAAACGU
This 1148-nucleotide long non-coding RNA is filed under the name Felis catus (domestic cat). RNAcentral's name for it is "lncRNA (ENSFCAG00000048636.1)". The stretch from base 935 to 1019 matches the Rfam family "tRNA". The record is from RNAcentral. Lineage: Eukaryota; Metazoa; Chordata; Mammalia; Carnivora; Felidae.